CCUACGGGUGGCAGCAGUGAGGAAUAUUGGUCAAUGGACGCAAGUCUGAACCAGCCAAGUAGCGUGAAGGAUGACUGCCCUAUGGGUUGUAAACUUCUUUUAUAUGGGAGUAAAGUGUUCCACGUGUGCCUUUUUGUAUGUACCUUAUGAAUAAGGAUCGGCUAACUCCGUGCCAGCAGCCGCGGUAAUACGGAGGAUCCGUGCGUUAUCCGGAUUUAUUGGGUUUAAAGGGAGCGUAGGUGGGUUGUUAAGUCAGUUGUGAAAGUUUGCGGCUCAACCGUAAAAUUGCAGUUGAAACUGGCAGUCUUGAGUACAGUAGAGGUGGGCGGAAUUCGUGGUGUAGCGGUGAAAUGCUUAGAUAUCACGAAGAACUCCGAUUGCGAAGGCAGCUUACUGGACUGCAACUGACACUGAGGCUCGAAAGUGUGGGUAUCAAACAGGAUUAGAUACCCCUGUAGUC
RNAcentral lists this ribosomal RNA (460 nucleotides) under uncultured bacterium. Its description in RNAcentral is "partial 16S ribosomal RNA". It matches the Rfam family "Bacterial small subunit ribosomal RNA", at positions 338 to 795 of the family's 1533-position model. The record is from RNAcentral.